RNAcentral lists this ribosomal RNA (520 nucleotides) under uncultured Glomus. RNAcentral's name for it is "SSU rRNA". It matches the Rfam family "Eukaryotic small subunit ribosomal RNA", at positions 569 to 1092 of the family's 1831-position model. Lineage: Eukaryota; Fungi; Glomeromycota; Glomeromycetes; Glomerales; Glomeraceae. The record is from RNAcentral.
AGCAGCCGCGGUAAUUCCAGCUCCAAUAGCGUAUAUUAAAGUUGCUGCAGUUAAAAAGCUCGUAGUUGAAUUUCGGGACUAAUAUAUCGGUCGUGCCUCGGUACGUACUGGUAUUUUUGGUUUCUCCCUUCUGACGAACCUUGAUGUCAUUAAUUUGGUGUCUUGGGAAAUCAGGACUGUUACUUUGAAAAAAUUAGAGUGUUUAAAGCAGGCUCACGCUUGAAUACAUUAGCAUGGAAUAAUGAAAUAGGACGUUUGAUUCUAUUUUGUUGGUUUCUAGGAUCGACGUAAUGAUUAAUAGGGAUAGUUGGGGGCAUUAGUAUUCAAUUGUCAGAGGUGAAAUUCUUGGAUUUAUUGAAGACUAACUACUGCGAAAGCAUUUGCCAAGGAUGUUUUCAUUAAUCAAGAACGAAAGUUAGGGGAUCGAAGACGAUCAGAUACCGUCGUAGUCUUAACCAUAAACUAUGCCGACUAGGGAUCGGAUGAUGUUAAUUUUUAAUGACUCAUUCGGCGCCUUACG